Molecule: ribosomal RNA, 406 nt
Filed under: uncultured bacterium
Lineage: Bacteria
Description: partial 16S ribosomal RNA
Rfam family: Bacterial small subunit ribosomal RNA
Source: RNAcentral
AUUGAACGCUGGCGGCAGGCUUAACACAUGCAAGUCGAGCGAGCGGCGGACGGGUGAGCAAUGUCUGGGAAACUGCCUGAUGGAUGGGGAUAACUACUGGAAACGGUAGCUAAUACCGCUCACCAUCAGCUGCGCCCAGAUGGCAUUAGCUAGUGGGUGGGGUAAUGGCUCACCAAGGCGACGAUCCCUAAUUGGUCUGAGAGGAUGACCAGCCACACUGGAACUGAGACACGGUCCAGACGCCUACGUGAGGCAGCAGGGGGGAAUAUUACGCAAUGGGCGAAAGCCUGAUGCAGCCAUGCCGCGUGUGUGAAGAAGGCCUUCGGGUUGUAAAGCGCUUUCAGCAAGGAGGCGUUACUCGCAGAGGAAGCACCGGCUAACUCCGUGCCAGCAGCCGCGGUAAUUC